UACGGAGGGUGCAAGCGUUAAUCGGAAUUACUGGGCGUAAAGCGCGCGUAGGCGGUUUUUUAAGUCGGAUGUGAAAGCCCCGGGCUCAACCUGGGAACUGCAUCCGAUACUGGAAGACUAGAAUGCGGGAGAGGGAGGUAGAAUUCCAUGUGUAGCAGUGAAAUGCGUAGAUAUAUGGAGGAAUACCAGUGGCGAAGGCGGCCUCCUGGCUCGACAUUGACGCUGAGGUGCGAAAGCGUGGGGAGCAAACAGG
Molecule: ribosomal RNA, 253 nt
Filed under: uncultured bacterium
Lineage: Bacteria
Description: partial 16S ribosomal RNA
Rfam family: Bacterial small subunit ribosomal RNA
Source: RNAcentral